CAAAAAAUAUGACCAGAAAAACCUUAAAUGAUCGUCGAUUUAUCCAAAAGUUUUGAAGUUACACAUAGGAAGUAGUGCUUAUUAAGAAUUCUUGUGUAGUUCAUUCUGACUUGUGCUUUUGGCCAAGAUGUCAAAGAACAAUUGUAUGAAAUAUUUAAUCGCCGAAAAUCUCUUAAGACAAGUAGUUUAGAUUUCCCAAAUGGCAAAAGUCGUAGGAAUAUUGUUUGUCAUCAAUACGUAGUACAACUACGUCAGUAGUCUAUUAUAUAAUAAGUUCAACUGUUCAUGCUGUUGGCGGCAAUUUCAAAUUAGAAAAAGAAAUUUUUGUAUCUUUUCAAUUUGGAGGCAGGUGUGCAAAUUAGCAGUGGUCCGAGGUCCGCGACCUUCCACUUUUGCAAGCGAAAUUUC
RNAcentral lists this long non-coding RNA (408 nucleotides) under Mytilus galloprovincialis (Mediterranean mussel). Lineage: Eukaryota; Metazoa; Mollusca; Bivalvia; Mytilida; Mytilidae. The record is from RNAcentral.